Molecule: ribosomal RNA, 253 nt
Filed under: uncultured bacterium
Lineage: Bacteria
Description: partial 16S ribosomal RNA
Rfam family: Bacterial small subunit ribosomal RNA
Source: RNAcentral
UACGGGGGGGGCAAGCGUUGUUCGGAAUUACUGGGCGUAAAGGGCUCGUAGGUGGCCAACUAAGUCAGACGUGAAAUCCCUCGGCUUAACCGGGGAACUGCGUCUGAUACUGGAUGGCUUGAGUUUGGGAGAGGGACGCGGAAUUCCAGGUGUAGCGGUGAAAUGCGUAGAUAUCUGGAGGAACACCGGUGGCGAAGGCGGCUAUCUGGACGGUUUCUGACGCUAAGACGCGAAAGCGUGGGGAGCAAACAGG